UAAUAUUCUUUUUUUCAUGUGAUGGCCAGAUAUUUUAUGAUGAUCUAUCUGUGCUUGUGCAUUUAUUGCAUUCAAAAAGCAGACGUGCAAACAUACAGUAUUAUGUUGAUGUAGUUAAAAAAAAAAAACAAGUCCACGCUUCUGCUAAUGAAUCAAGUGUGUAAUCACUGAAACAGGCUUAUUGAAAAUGCAGCCCUGAAAAUGGUCCCGACACCGUUUAGUAUCUUGUCUGCAACACACAACGAUCAGAGAUAGAUUUAAAAGUGGUUUAGGUUUUAUCUAA
This is a long non-coding RNA of Sander lucioperca (pikeperch), 283 nucleotides long. RefSeq lists it as uncharacterized. The record is from RefSeq and is a predicted model, not a curated record. The transcript has 2 exons. NCBI's taxonomy places the organism in Eukaryota, Metazoa, Chordata, Actinopteri, Perciformes, Percidae.